GCUGGCGUAGCUCAGUUGGUAGAGCACCCCAUUCGUAAUGGGGAUGUCGUAGGUUCGACUCCUAUCGCCAGCACCA
Molecule: transfer RNA, 76 nt
Filed under: Oxalobacteraceae bacterium
Lineage: Bacteria; Pseudomonadati; Pseudomonadota; Betaproteobacteria; Burkholderiales; Oxalobacteraceae
Description: tRNA-Thr
Rfam family: tRNA
About the family: Transfer RNA (tRNA) molecules are approximately 80 nucleotides in length. Their secondary structure includes four short double-helical elements and three loops (D, anti-codon, and T loops).
Source: RNAcentral